GUGCUUGCUUCGGCAGCACACAUACUAAAAUUGGAAAGAUACAGAGAAGAUUAGCAUGGCCCCUGCACAAGGAUGACACGCAAAUUCGUGAAGUGUUCCAUAUUUAA
RNAcentral lists this small nuclear RNA (107 nucleotides) under Saimiri boliviensis boliviensis (Bolivian squirrel monkey). The record is from RNAcentral. Lineage: Eukaryota; Metazoa; Chordata; Mammalia; Primates; Cebidae.